RNAcentral lists this ribosomal RNA (318 nucleotides) under Triticum aestivum (bread wheat). RNAcentral describes it as "partial small subunit ribosomal RNA". The record is from RNAcentral. Lineage: Eukaryota; Viridiplantae; Streptophyta; Magnoliopsida; Poales; Poaceae.
AUGGUACAACAAAGCAGAUGCCAGGUGUUGAGGCAGCAGUGCUGUCAGGAACUAUCACAUACCCCCAAGCGAGCACAAUGCCAUGCCAUCCACAACGUUGUGCGCGCCAUUAUUUUGCAACAACGACAACAACAAUUGGUAGAAGGUACUUUGGCCCAACCACAACAACUACUACUAGGUCAAGGUUCCAUCCAACGUCAACAACAUCAGUUGAAUCAGGGUUGGAUCGAUGCAAUAAGGACAUGGGUGCUCCAGACCCUACCGACAAUGUGCGACCUCCGCGUACCAUCAUACUGCUCCCCCACCACAUCACCGUAG